AAAUUUUUCUGUGGCUGUUGUUGUUUGACCGAGAGUUUUUGGUGUGGUGUGUUUGAUAACCUCUUCUAAAGCCUCUUUUCAUCUCAAAAUAUACAAAAUCUAUAGGUUUGAGGUUUGCCAAAAUUAUUUCCAGCAUUAAUUUGGUCUUGCUCUUCAUGUAUACUUAGUGUGUUGAUGUGAAUUUGCUUCUUGGUUGUGUGAUUUUCUUUGCUGUCUUGUUCAUUUUGUGCCACUGUUUUGACUCUUAAUUCUUGCUGUUUUGUCUCUUAAAUAUCUUUAGAUUACUGCCACCUUGUUUUGUGCCAAGUUUCUUGAUUUUUUAGGUUCAAUUUUCAUCAUUUGUCUUGGGGU
Molecule: long non-coding RNA, 351 nt
Filed under: Vigna radiata
Lineage: Eukaryota; Viridiplantae; Streptophyta; Magnoliopsida; Fabales; Fabaceae
Description: long non-coding RNA (VRAD_LNC016403)
Source: RNAcentral